GACGAACCGUGCGAACGUUGUUCGGAAUCACUGGGCUUAAAGGGCGCGUAGGCGGGCCAUAAAGUCAGGGGUGAAAUCCUCCAGCUUAACUGGAGAACUGCCUUUGAUACUGAUGGUCUCGAGUAAGGUAGGGGCAUGCGGAACUGAUGGUGGAGCGGUGAAAUGUGUUGAUAUCAUCAGGAACUCCGGUGGCGAAAGCGGCAUGCUGGACCUUCACUGACGCUGAUGCGCGAAAGCUAGGGGAGCGAACGGG
This 253-nucleotide ribosomal RNA is filed under the name uncultured bacterium. Its description in RNAcentral is "partial 16S ribosomal RNA". It matches the Rfam family "Bacterial small subunit ribosomal RNA", at positions 524 to 776 of the family's 1533-position model. The record is from RNAcentral.